GGUAAGGGGGCAACCCUCGGAAUGUGAGCCUGUCGGGCCGUUCGCGGGCCUUUUGCGCAAGCGGAAAGAACGGAGGAGGGAGAGGGCAGGAGAUCAGGGGUUGCCGCGGUGAUGCAGUCCAUAGCCAAGGGUUUGAGGUGGGUCCUGGAUGCGAUAAAUGUCCAUAGAAAAAGACCACGCGCCGGGCCGAAGCGGGUACUCCUGUGUGUGAGCAACAACGUUGUGAUGUUAAACGGAAUCUUUGUGCUAAGCCCCGUUUCUUUUGAACCCUAUAUACAGCAGCCGCAGGCCUCAAGCCCUUAGCUGAGCUAAAUAUAAUGGAUCAUAUGACAUCAUGUAAACGAAUGAAAAACAAGUAAGGAUUUCGGACGGGGCUAUGUUCUAGGGACUACGUUCUCGUGGGUGCACAAGGACCGGACGGCUGCGGAUCGACUACGCAAAACGUGCUUUGCGUGAAACGCAAUUAUCUGUCCAAUACCAAUAAAAUGGAUCUUGGAUACUACACGCACUCCGAAGUUUAGCAAAACCAUGGACGGUAGCCUACCGUAAGCUCUUGUCGCCAGCUAAUCGCCAGCUCAGUAGCUCACAAUAGGAGAAAUCCUACUGGCUGGUCUCCUGCGCUACUUCAGGCACACAAGUAGUCGACGAGAGGCACUUCUGCAUGUUCUGCAUCAGUUUACACAAUUUAUUGUUCGUCACCAAAUCAUUGCAUGUCUCUAAU
Molecule: long non-coding RNA, 721 nt
Filed under: Volvox carteri
Lineage: Eukaryota; Viridiplantae; Chlorophyta; Chlorophyceae; Chlamydomonadales; Volvocaceae
Description: long non-coding RNA (VCAR_LNC002146)
Source: RNAcentral